GUGCUCUCUUUGGCAGCACAUAUACUAAAAUUGGAACUAUACAAAGAAGAUUAGCAUGGACCAUGUGCAAAGAUGACAUGCAAAUACAAUGUUAGAAUGAUUU
This is a small nuclear RNA of Suncus etruscus (white-toothed pygmy shrew), 103 nucleotides long. NCBI's taxonomy places the organism in Eukaryota, Metazoa, Chordata, Mammalia, Eulipotyphla, Soricidae. The record is from RefSeq and is a predicted model, not a curated record.